GAUGAACGCUAGCUACAGGCUUAACACAUGCAAGUCGCGGGGUAACAUCUGGUAGAGCUUGCUUCCGAUGGGCGUCGACCGGCGCACGGGUGAGUAACGCGUAUCCAACCUGCCCACCACUUGGGGAUAACCUUGCGAAAGUAAGACUAAUACCCAAUGAUAUCCCACGAAGGCAUCCGAAUGGGAUUAAAGAUUUAUCGGUGAUGGAUGGGGAUGCGUCUGAUUAGCUUGUUGGCGGGGUAACGGCCCACCAAGGCAACGAUCAGUAGGGGUUCUGAGAGGAAGGUCCCCCACAUUGGAACUGAGACACGGUCCAAACUCCUACGGGAGGCAGCAGUGAGGAAUAUUGGUCAAUGGGCGAGAGCCUGAACCAGCCAAGUCGCGUGAGGGAAGACGGUCCUACGGAUUGUAAACCUCUUUUGUCGGGGAGUAACGUGCGGGACGGGUCCCGUAUUGAGAGUACCCGAAGAAAAAGCAUCGGCUAACUCCGUG
Molecule: ribosomal RNA, 492 nt
Filed under: uncultured bacterium
Lineage: Bacteria
Description: bacterial SSU rRNA
Rfam family: Bacterial small subunit ribosomal RNA
Source: RNAcentral